Molecule: ribosomal RNA, 254 nt
Filed under: uncultured bacterium
Lineage: Bacteria
Description: partial 16S ribosomal RNA
Rfam family: Bacterial small subunit ribosomal RNA
Source: RNAcentral
UACGAAGGGGGGCUAGCGUUGUUCGGAUUUACUGGGCGUAAAGCGCACGUAGGCGGAUCGUUAAGUCAGGGGUGAAAUCCUGGAGCUCAACUCCAGAACUGCCUUUGAUACUGAGGAUCUUGAGUUCGGGAGAGGUGAGUGGAACUGCGAGUGUAGAGGUGAAAUUCGUAGAUAUUCGCAAGAACACCAGUGGCGAAGGCGGCUCACUGGCCCGAUACUGGCGCUGAGGCACGAAAGCGUGGGGAGCAAACAGG